GAUGAAGAACGUAGCGAAAUGCGAUAAGUAAUGUGAAUUGCAGAAUUCAGUGAAUCAUCGAAUCUUUGAACGCACAUUGCGCCCAUUAGUAUUCUAGUGGGCAUGCCUGUUCGAGCGUCAUUUCAACCAUCAAGCCCUAGGCUUGCGUUGGAGCCCUGCGGCUGCCGCAGGCUCCCAAAUCCAGUGGCGGGCUCGUCGUCGUACCGAGUGCAGUAAACAUCCUCGCUCAGGGAACGUGACGGGUUCUUGCCGUGAAACCCCCCACAUAUCAAGGUUGACCUCGGAUCAGGUAGGAAUACCCGCUGAACUUAAGCAUAUCAAUAAGCGGAGGA
This 332-nucleotide unclassified non-coding RNA is filed under the name soil metagenome. Its description in RNAcentral is "partial contains 5.8S ribosomal RNA, internal transcribed spacer 2, and large subunit ribosomal RNA". The stretch from base 1 to 120 matches the Rfam family "5.8S ribosomal RNA", at positions 35 to 154 of the family's 154-position model. The record is from RNAcentral.